Molecule: transfer RNA, 85 nt
Filed under: Candidatus Omnitrophota bacterium
Lineage: Bacteria; Pseudomonadati; Candidatus Omnitrophota
Description: tRNA-Leu
Rfam family: tRNA
About the family: Transfer RNA (tRNA) molecules are approximately 80 nucleotides in length. Their secondary structure includes four short double-helical elements and three loops (D, anti-codon, and T loops). Further hydrogen bonds mediate the characteristic L-shaped molecular structure. tRNAs have two regions of fundamental functional importance: the anti-codon, which is responsible for specific mRNA codon recognition, and the 3' end, to which the tRNAs corresponding amino acid is attached (by aminoacyl-tRNA synthetases). tRNAs cope with the degeneracy of the genetic code in two manners: having more than one tRNA (with a specific anti-codon) for a particular amino acid; and 'wobble' base-pairing, i.e. permitting non-standard base-pairing at the 3rd anti-codon position.
Source: RNAcentral
GCCCUCGUGGUGGAACUGGCAGACACGCUAGCUUCAGGAGCUAGUUUCCUAAAAGGAAAUGGAGGUUCGAAUCCUCUCGAGGGCA